CAUACUUUGUCUAGAACUAUGUGCAGCAGGCAGAGACAUCUAGUUGUAGAAUAAUAUACUACUAUCAAACGUCCUAUACAAGCAGACCAACAUGACUAUGACCAAGACCUCUGAGAGAACUUGUGGUCUGCUUCACAGAUGGAGGAAAAAGCACUGGUAAUUCAUUUUAAAGUGGCACCUUGAAGAUGGAGGAGGAGGAGGAAGGCCCUGUUGUGCUGGAUACUGUCCAAAUGUAUAGUAAUAGAAAGUUCCUUCUCAAUGGAGUAUACAUAAGGGCAAAUAAGCCCAGGAGGGGAAAGGUCCUUGAAAGGAAAAAUUACUUGGCCAAAGUCAAAUAAUAAUAAAUACAGAUCACAAAUCCAGAUCCUGUGAUCCUGCCUACAUUCUGCGCUGCUUUUAUGGCUUUCCAUUAGAAUACCAUUAUUUUUUAACACAA
This is a long non-coding RNA of Alligator mississippiensis (American alligator), 436 nucleotides long. RefSeq lists it as uncharacterized. NCBI's taxonomy places the organism in Eukaryota, Metazoa, Chordata, Crocodylia, Alligatoridae. The record is from RefSeq and is a predicted model, not a curated record. The transcript is spliced from 3 exons.